Molecule: small RNA, 149 nt
Filed under: Paenibacillus ihumii
Lineage: Bacteria; Bacillati; Bacillota; Bacilli; Caryophanales; Paenibacillaceae
Description: Ribosomal protein L10 leader
Rfam family: Ribosomal protein L10 leader
About the family: This family is a putative r-protein leader autoregulatory structure found in B. subtilis and other low-GC Gram-positive bacteria.
Source: RNAcentral
AAUUUGAAUAUGCUUACCGUAGACAGUAGGUGCCCUGCAAGGCUUAAUUUCCUACCGAGGUGUUAUGAUAGAACGUCAACAUGCUGCUAGUGUACUAGUGGAAUGAUGAUUCAUCAGGCCUUCGUGAUUCUACGGAGGCUUUUUUAAUG